CCUUAAAGCUACUCUCAGUUCGGAUUGUAGGCUGAAACUCGCCUACAUGAAGCUGGAGUUACUAGUAAUCGCAGAUCAGAAUGCUGCGGUGAAUGCGUUCCCGGGUCUUGUACACACCGCCCGUCACACCACGGGAGUUGGAGACGCCCGAAGCCGAUUAUCUAACCUUUUGGAAGAAGUCGUCGAAGGUGGAAUCAAUAACUGGGGUGAAGUCGUAACAAGGUAGCCGUAUCGGAAGGUGCGGCUGGAUCACCUCCUUUCUAAGGAGA
This 269-nucleotide ribosomal RNA is filed under the name Clostridioides difficile. RNAcentral describes it as "partial 16S ribosomal RNA". It matches the Rfam family "Bacterial small subunit ribosomal RNA", at positions 1274 to 1533 of the family's 1533-position model. Lineage: Bacteria; Bacillati; Bacillota; Clostridia; Peptostreptococcales; Peptostreptococcaceae. The record is from RNAcentral.